AAACGAUGAGUGCUAAGUGUUGGAGGGUUUCCGCCCUUCAGUGCUGCAGCUAACGCAUUAAGCACUCCGCCUGGGGAGUACGACCGCAAGGUUGAAACUCAAAGGAAUUGACGGGGGCCCGCACAAGCGGUGGAGCAUGUGGUUUAAUUCGAAGCAACGCGAAGAACCUUACCAGGUCUUGACAUCCUUUGACCACUCUAGAGAUAGAGCUUCCCCUUCGGGGGCAAAGUGACAGGUGGUGCAUGGUUGUCGUCAGCUCGUGUCGUGAGAUGUUGGGUUAAGUCCCGCAACGAGCGCAACCCUUAUUGUUAGUUGCCAUCAUUCAGUUGGGCACUCUAGCAAGACUGCCGGUGACAAACCGGAGGAAGGUGGGGAUGACGUCAAAUCAUCAUGCCCCUUAUGACCUGGGCUACACACGUGCUACAAUGGGAAGUACAACGAGUUGCGAAGUCGCGAGGCUAAGCUAAUCUCUUAAAGCUUCUCUCAGUUCGGAUUGCAGGCUGCAACUCGCCUGCA
This 516-nucleotide ribosomal RNA is filed under the name Enterococcus faecium. RNAcentral's name for it is "bacterial SSU rRNA". It matches the Rfam family "Bacterial small subunit ribosomal RNA", at positions 804 to 1320 of the family's 1533-position model. The record is from RNAcentral. Lineage: Bacteria; Bacillati; Bacillota; Bacilli; Lactobacillales; Enterococcaceae.